UACGUAGGACCCGAGCGUUGUCCGGAUUUACUGGGUAUAAAGGGUGCGCAGGCGGCCGUGUGCGUCAGAGGUGAAAUAUCCGGGCUUAACCCGGAGGGUGCCUUUGAUACGGCAUGGCUUGAGUUCGAGAGAGGGUGAUGGAAUUCCUGGUGUAGCAGUGAAAUGCGUAGAUAUCAGGAGGAACACCGGUGGCGAAGGCGGUCACCUGGCUCGACACUGACGCUCAGGCACGAAAGCGCGGGGAUCAAACAGGAUUAGAUACCCUAGUAGUCC
This 273-nucleotide ribosomal RNA is filed under the name uncultured prokaryote. RNAcentral describes it as "partial 16S ribosomal RNA". It matches the Rfam family "Bacterial small subunit ribosomal RNA", at positions 524 to 796 of the family's 1533-position model. The record is from RNAcentral.